AUUUAUAUAGUUUAAAAAAAACACUACAUUUUCAUUGUAUAGUUAAAAUAUUAAUUUUUAUAAAUA
Molecule: transfer RNA, 66 nt
Filed under: Megathymus yuccae yuccae
Lineage: Eukaryota; Metazoa; Arthropoda; Insecta; Lepidoptera; Hesperiidae
Description: tRNA-Glu
Source: RNAcentral